Molecule: ribosomal RNA, 505 nt
Filed under: uncultured bacterium
Lineage: Bacteria
Description: bacterial SSU rRNA
Rfam family: Bacterial small subunit ribosomal RNA
Source: RNAcentral
CCUGAUCCAGCGACGUUGGCGUGGAGGAUGAAGACGUUCGCGCCGUAAACUCCUUUUAUAGGGAAAGAAGUCCAUUGACGGUACUCGUAUGAAUAAGCGGGGGGCUAAUUCUGUGCCAGCAGCAGCGGUAAUACAGAACCCGCAAGCGUUAUCCGGAUUAUUGGGCGUAAAGUGUUCGUAGGCGGCAUGGAAAGUCUGGUUUUAAAUUCUUCGGGCUCAACCCGGAGGCUGAAUCGGAUACUACCAAGCUUGAAGAUGCUAGGGGCUAUCGGAACGCACGGUGUAGGGGUGAAAUCCGUUGAUAUCGUGCGGAACACCAAAAGCGAAGGCAGAUAGCUGGGGCAAUCUUGACGCUGAGGAACGAAAGCGUGGGGAGCAAAAAGGAUUAGAUACCCUUGUAGUCCACGCCCUAAACAUUGGACACUGGUUGCUUGAAGUGUCGACCCUUCAAGUGGCGAAGCUAACGCGUUAAGUGUCCCGCCUGGGAAGUACGGCCGCAAGGCUA